GAUAAACGCUGGCGGCGUGCCUAAUACAUGCAAGUCGGACGAGGGAGACAAAGCUUGCUUUGUCAACCUAGUGGCGAACGGGUGAGUAACACAUAAGCAACCUGCCCACGGAGACCGGGAUAAUCUCUGGAAACGGGGACUAAAACCGGAUAGGCAGUAAUGAGGCAUCUCAAUACUGUUAAAGGUGAGAGACACUGGUGGAUGGGCUUAUGGCGCAUUAGCUAGUUGGUGAGGUAACGGCCCACCAAGGCGAUGAUGCGUAGCCGGCCUGAGAGGGUGAACGGCCACAUUGGGACUGAGACACGGCCCAGACUCCUACGGGUGGCUG
RNAcentral lists this ribosomal RNA (328 nucleotides) under uncultured Bacillota bacterium. Its description in RNAcentral is "bacterial SSU rRNA". It matches the Rfam family "Bacterial small subunit ribosomal RNA", at positions 28 to 351 of the family's 1533-position model. The record is from RNAcentral. Lineage: Bacteria; Bacillati; Bacillota.